AUGAGACUGGAAAAUGAGUGCUCUAGAAAUUAUUUCUCCAUCUGCCACUAACUUUGGGGAAGCUCCCCGGCCUCUGCCUCUCCACGCGAAGCCACGCGGACACCAGCACUUCCCCACCUGCGAGGUGCGCGGGGCUGUGUGCCGCUGAAAAUAGGCGGCAGCAGGGACAAACCUGCAGUGGAAGUGAGAACUCCUGCCCCCUCCUGAUAAUGUGAAUAGCUGACCCUCUUAACUCCAGCGACGUUUAUAACCAUGGGUAAAUGCACCUCAGCGUGGAAGCAUGUUGAAGGACCUCUCUGAGAUUCCGUGAAUCCCCGGGUGUAUCCACAGGCUGCAUUUGUUCGUGGUGUAGGUAAGUCCUGCCCGUCGCCCAGCUGGCACCUGGUCAGGCAGCCAGUUCUGGUGAGCAGCCCGUGGUGAGCCCAAGUACGGCAGAGCACUGAAGAGCCUGGCUGAUUUCCAGCAGGCCCGUAACUCUACGCAUACGAGAAGUUUCCGUGGAGUCAACCAGAGCUACUCAGGUGCUUAGGGCCAUGACCAGCCCAGCAGCUCUGCAGCAGCAGGUCCCACCAGCAGUCACUCUUUCGCAAUGGGCCGGGAUGCUCUGGCCACGAGAUAGAUUUGCUACCGACAGCGAUGUGACACCCCUGGUGACACCACGCUUCAGGGCUCGCCAUCAGGGUGAAACGCAGCCCUCUGCUUCCCCGGCAGCAACUGCAGAGCCUGGGCAUCGAGCACUCACUGCAAUUAGGCGCGGUCUAUAUGGGACCAGAAAUGAGCUACCCUUUCUCCUUUCUGAGUGUCACAGUAAUAAAGCUUCUCUUCUUCUGAUCAGGCCAGAAACAAACAUCUCUGUUCUCACGGAUCUCUGCAAAGCGGGCACUGUCGAGUAGGAACCUACGACAGAUUAUUAAGAUGGGAGCCGAGAAAAAGAAAUUAUUGAAUUUAAAAAAAUAUUCCUCUGAUGCGAAAUGCAGCUCUCGCCCAGCCUGUGUUUUGAGGGACUAAAAUGUUCGCGCUGUGUUCCCCUGCCUGUUUAAGCAGACCUCAAUGCAUGUAAGUGCCAAAAAAGUGGAAUUCCUGAACAGCAGGUGGAAAGAAAACACAAGAUCAAAAGCACUCGUAGCUGCCAAGAGGACCUGCAGUGCUGCUUGCGGGUGCACGAAGAGUCAUGCGUGCGCCUGGCGGGGUCGGAGACUUUUGGAAGGUCAUCAAGGAGCUGGUUCAGGCAUCCCACAUCAAAAGGCAGCACGAGGAGACAAACUAGCACACAUGGUCCCAUGGGGAUUGUGCUAGACAUCGGUCACCCACUCGUAGCAGAAUGUAACUCAUUUUCCCAUCACAUCUAUGGAAACAGCCCUAAGAAAUUAGUGCUCAGUGAAGCCUGUAGGUAAGAAAAAUAAAUUUAAGUGCUCGUACUGGGUGAAAAUUGGGCAGUGGCAACUUUGGCUAUGUGACCUAUCCGGGGGGACUACAGAAGAAACAUCCUUCCGAGUUCAUCCUUCCAGUAAAGGCCAAGGAUGCAAGCUUCGCUGUCCUUGCAGCCAGCCCUAACCUCAGCGCCUGUUCCUGCACCUGGGCCACCUGGGCCUGCACCAUGGUCCUGCCUCUUUAGGGAUGACCCAUACGUUGGGGAUGCAGGGAAGAAACUGCUCCAGCAUUCCCUGGAGCUGCUGGCCUUUAGGACAGACGCCUAAGAGAUGCUCCUUGCCUGCCACUGCUCUCCCCUCCACUACUAUCCCUCGGUCUCUGGAAAAGGUGGGAGAACCUUCCCCUGCAAAGGUGACCUGAGCUUAGAAACACGGAGAAGUUGGCCCAAAAGGCCCAGGCUGUCUCCGACCCUGUGGAGCAGGAUGGGUGCUGCGAGCCCUGUGGCGUGAGCAAGGGAUCUGGACCAUUAAAAAAGUCACCGCUUCUGUUUAUCUGCGUAGGGGCUUCUCAGGCCUGUGAGGGGCCAUAUCUCAGAGAACAAAAAUUCAUUUCCAAAAGGCCACUUUGAACAUUCCCCACUUGCCACGGCAGGAGACGGAGCCUGAGAAAGGACUUGCUGGGCAGAGUACUGGUAUCAGCAGCGGGAUCACAGACUGUCAGUGCUUGCUUCCAUUUUUGCUGCUACAUAUUACCAAAUUGCUUUUAAAAAAAGGCAUACAUUAGUGGGGUUAAAAAUAACUACAAGGUGCACUGCUAUUCCCAAAGACAGCCUUUUUUAUUUUAAAAUUCUGCAUCUGAAAACACAGUAUGACAGAAAGCAUUUAUAUACAACUGCAGUGUUUUUGGUAUAAUACAGUAUUUAAUACAUCCAUUUCUUUUUCUGCAAAAAAAUUUGCUUUGUCGGACAAAAAAACCCAAACUCCAAUAGACAAAGAAUACAGCUAAGGCACAUUGUUUUCUGCUAAAUGAAAGACAAAAGGGUGCAAAAACGGGUAGUGCAAUAAUUGCUGAAAAUCACAUUCUACUACAAGAAAAGCAUUCUGACUUUGAACUUUGAUUACCGGUCAAUUUAAGACAUUUCAAUAUCUCAUAAAAUACUCCUUUAAAUAAAUAGCAAAAUAUCUACAUC
This is a long non-coding RNA of Dromaius novaehollandiae (emu), 2560 nucleotides long. RefSeq lists it as uncharacterized. Lineage: Eukaryota; Metazoa; Chordata; Aves; Casuariiformes; Dromaiidae. The transcript has 3 exons. The record is from RefSeq and is a predicted model, not a curated record.